Molecule: ribosomal RNA, 477 nt
Filed under: fungal sp. 32.20
Lineage: Eukaryota; Fungi
Description: eukaryotic LSU rRNA
Rfam family: 5.8S ribosomal RNA (bases 163-316)
Source: RNAcentral
GGGAUCAUUACUGAGUGAGGGCGUCAACGCCCGACCUCCAACCCUUUGUGAACCAACCUCUGUUGCCUCGGGGGCGACCCGGCCCUUCGGGUGUCGGGGCCCUCGGUGGACCACAUAUCAACUCUGCGUCUUUGCGUCCGAGUCUUAUGAUAAAUCAAUCAAAACUUUUAACAACGGAUCUCUUGGUUCUGGCAUCGAUGAAGAACGCAGCGAAAUGCGAUAAGUAAUGUGAAUUGCAGAAUUCAGUGAAUCAUCGAAUCUUUGAACGCACAUUGCGCCCUUUGGUAUUCCGAGGGGCAUGCCUGUUCGAGCGUCAUUAAACAAACUCAAGCCGAUUUAUUAGCUUGGUCUUGGGCGUCGGGGGUCACCCGCGCCUUAAUGUCGCCGGCUGGACGAUCUGGAUCUCAGCGUUGUGGCAACAAAUUCGCUGGCGAGAAGGAGCGUCUGUGCCGUUAAACCUCCCAUCAAAGGUUGACC